This is a non-coding RNA of Lactuca sativa (garden lettuce), 3420 nucleotides long. The record is from RefSeq and is a predicted model, not a curated record. NCBI's taxonomy places the organism in Eukaryota, Viridiplantae, Streptophyta, Magnoliopsida, Asterales, Asteraceae.
CCCUCAUUUUACAAAACUCACGAUCCGGAAACGUGCAGGUUAGAAUCGUUUUAAUUUUGGAAUGGUUUUAUAAAAGACCGUUGGAAUUGGGAAGCCAAAAGGUUUAGGUCGGUGUAUUGGCGCAUAAAAUAUACCUUCUCCACUCUUCCUUCUUCACUUCACUCAUCCCGCUCCGCUCUCCAAACACCGUCGGAGACGACUGAUCGCGACCUCUGUAACUCAGCUCACCGGAGACACAAGCACCGCUCACCGGAGACACAAGCACCCCCACCCUUCGUAGGACUAGGACACUCACAACCAUGUCGGUAAUCCUAUGAAGUUAUCUGCUUCAAAUUGCAAAUGUUGUAUGCAUCAGAUGUUCGUUAACCAAAUGUUGAGGAAACAAUGAGGAUUCAGACUUGUACUUAGAGCCAUCCAUCACCUAUAGAAUUAGAAACUAUAACCAUCUACCAUGAAGCCUUUGAUCAUCUUUUACAUGCCUUUUGGUUGUUUUUUUUCAAAUGACAUUGAUCCUAUCAAUAAGUUUGUGGAUCUUUUUAACAUAAACCAGUUACCCCUGCUUGGCUGCUUCUGAUCAUGAACUAAUUAAAUCCAUGGGAAUUGAAUAUGUCUAAUGCUUCUUCUGGUCAGCAUCUUUGCUUUUUGCUCAGCAGAGAGGAUGUGGGUGAGGUUCUUUCUGAAAAAAAAAACAAUUUUAUUGAAGGCUGUAUAAAAGACUAAAUUCGUCCUUACAACCAAAAUAUUGUUUUUCGAAUCUUGCACCUUCUUCUUUAUUCUCACCCCUAAUUUAUCCUAAUAUACAACUCUAUAAAUGUAAUGUAGAUAUUUAUAAUCAUUUGUUAUAUUAUUAAUUAGUUAUCUGUCCUCAUUUUUAAUUGCAUGUUACUUUUUCUUUUAGUGUUUAUGAAAUUAGAGUAUGUAUGUUUGAUGUUUUAUAUAAUUAGUGUUUACUAGUUGUCUUAUGAGUGAAAUCUUUUCCAGUAAAUAUCUCUUAUUUUAGAAAAAAGGUCACUAAAGGGUUUUUUGGUCAUUUAACAUAACUUUCACUUCAAUUCUUUUGAAUAAUUUGCAAACCAAACACAAAACAACACAUGAAAUGAAUCUAAAUUUCUUUCCAUUUUCUUUCAACUAUACACAUGACAUUCCAAUUUGUCUGAUCAAUUCCAUUCAUUUUAAAAGUAUUUUGCAAACCACAAGUUAUCUUAUAUUACUCUGAGAUUAAUUGCUCUUCUUAAUUCCAAUUCCUUUGACAAAAUUCCAUUUUAUACUCUGCAACAAGAAAAGGUUUUAGAAACCAAAUACAGAUGUUGUGGUUUAGAAAAGGAAAAGAAGAUGCUCCCGAGAAUCAAAUUGUUAACAUGUAUGUUUUUACCCUUAACACUAUAAAACACUUGAUGUUUUUUAUGUUCUUAUUUAGUUUUUCUGUUAGUAUGUAAAGAUACACUUCUAUAUCAACUUACUGCCUUCAAUCCAUUGAUUACAAGCUGACAAAGCAUGGAAACAAUAUGCAGGUGUACAGGAAAUGAUGUGCUUAUUUAUUUAAAAGAAGCUAAAUAUUGCAUGGAAAAUGCCUUCAUCACUUAUUUAGUACAUCUGCAAGUUGAGACAUCAGGGAGGGAAAUGCCACAUGGUGUGGUCUUUGGUGGGAUGAAAUGUUAGAAACAAGUGGUCAAUAUAAAGAGGGUGUUGGUGUUUAAGAUCAUCAGAAGACAUGAAUGUAUUUCAUGUGAAUAACUUUGAAAAUCCUCUUCAAAAGAAGUUUGUCUUCAUUAGAGCUUCCAAGAUCUCUCUCUCUCUCUCUCUCUCUCUCUCUCUCUCUCUCUCUCUCUCUCUCUCUCUCUCUCUCUCUCUCUCUCUCUCUCUCUCUCUCUGUGCCUGAGAUCUUUCCAUUCAUGUUUUAGAAAAAAAUCUCUCUUUGUUACAAGGUUUACCCGGGAAACAACUUCCUAACUCUUCUAUGACAGCCUUGUUCAUCGUCAAAGUCAAAGUCAAAGUCAAGGUCAAAAUGAAAGGAGGAAAAAUAUUUGUGCUCCCAAAGACCACCAGCUCUCGAAAUCCCCCCCAUUGAUGCCCCCAUAGUUCCCAAAGAGUCCCUGAGUACCCUCUGACCCUCUUGAGCCACAGCAGCAUCCUUUUGGGGUUGAAGAGGCAACACACAUUUUUUUUACACGAAGAAAUAGCAACAUACUUCAUUCUUUUUACCAAUGAUAACCGGAGCAGUCAAUAGCAACUACAAAUCUGUAGAAAAAGCUAAAUGACUAUAAUAUACGAUGAUGCCAAGGGUUACCAAGGAAUACGCACUAAAUCAGGGAUUAUAUUAUGUGAGCGAAAUUGUUGUGAUGAUCACUAUAUCUUUGUAGGUAAUCUCUGUAUUUAUACCAUUAUAGAUGAUAUCAUUUAGGUUUUUUCGAAUAACACGACAAAAUAUGUAUGAUUUGUGAAAAUUUAGUCAUUUUUCAUAGGCAUUUGCAGGUUUUACUCUUCUAUCUCGUGAUUUCAUCAUCAGAGAAUGAAAGCAAAGAUUGACAAAAAAACGUUUUCGGAAGCGACAAAGUCCCGACUACAGACACGUCUUCUCGCAAUAGCUGUUACGAUCGAUUUGAAAAACCCUAGCAAUGGAAGCGGCAAUCGUCCAUUUUUGUUUCAUGCUGGUAAACAGGAGAUUUCAAGGUUUCCAAUCUUCAAUAAAUUUUUAGCUUUCUUUAGACUUGUGGAGAAGCUGAUGUGGGUGCUUCGUUUCAUCGAUUAUUUUUUUCAGUUAAAGAUGAAGAAUGUGGUUAAUUUCUCAAUUUAGUUUCAUUUUAUGUUUUUUAACCCUAAAGGACUAUAGCGUAAAUGUGCUUUUUUUUUUCUUUGUUUUUGGUCGAAUCAUGCUUUGAUAUGUGUUAUUUGACAACAAGGGUGUUACAGAUCAGCUAUGCCAUACAAGAGGACUCUGCCAAGCUGCCUGAAGAUCUCUCCUCAAGAUGUAAGUAAAUCUCAAUAAUUCAUGGCUUUCUUUGUUUUGAUGCCUUCAAUUACUUUUAAAGUUCGUUAUUAAUCAUCGAGAAUUAAGUGCAAAAGUAUGAAAAAGGGCAAUUUUGAACAAAAAGAGACAUUUAUUUCAGACAUCACGUAAUAAGCUAUUUCAUCGGGUGAAACGUGAAAGAGCACCCUGAAUAUCUAGCUUAUUAGCAAAAAACAAAUAAUGAAGAUCCUGAUAACCUCUGCAUCAACAUCACAAAAAAGAUAUUAGUGAUUCUUUUUGAAAAAAACUAGGGACAAAAAAUUUCUCCUUAAUAAGUCUUAAUUUACCGGUUUGCCCUAUUUUUUGCUUCUCUUCCAUUUCUUCAAUAUUUUUAUUUAAGUAUUUAUAAUUUAUAAUAAUUCAUGUAUAUUGUUACACACGUAUAUUUGAUAUGAAACAAGGUAUUUGUAAUU